GAUGAAGAACGUAGCGAAAUGCGAUAAGUAAUGUGAAUUGCAGAAUUCAGUGAAUCAUCGAAUCUUUGAACGCACAUUGCGCCCGCCAGUAUUCUGGCGGGCAUGCCUGUUCGAGCGUCAUUUCAACCAUCAAGCCCCCGGCUUGUGUUGGGGACCUGCGGCUGCCGCAGGCCCUGAAAACCAGUGGCGGGCUCGCUAGUCACUCCGAGCGUAGUAGUUACAUCUCGCUCAGGGCGUGCUGCGGGUUCCGGCCGUUAAAAGCCAUAUUUACCCAAGGUUGACCUCGGAUCAGGUAGGAAGACCCGCUGAACUUAAGCAUAUCAAUAAGCGGAGGA
RNAcentral lists this unclassified non-coding RNA (335 nucleotides) under soil metagenome. RNAcentral describes it as "partial contains 5.8S ribosomal RNA, internal transcribed spacer 2, and large subunit ribosomal RNA". The stretch from base 1 to 120 matches the Rfam family "5.8S ribosomal RNA", at positions 35 to 154 of the family's 154-position model. The record is from RNAcentral.